Molecule: small RNA, 633 nt
Filed under: Pongo abelii (Sumatran orangutan)
Lineage: Eukaryota; Metazoa; Chordata; Mammalia; Primates; Hominidae
Description: retained intron
Source: RNAcentral
CUUUUUUUAAAGCUCUCACAAUUCAUAAAGGGAGCUACACUUAACUUUGAACUCAAGAAAAUAAACCACAAGAGAGAAAUGAAAUGUUCUCUUUCAGACUUGCACACCUACCCCUGUGGAGCGUGCACCCUAUAAGGGAGAAGUCGCCACACUGAAAUCCAGAGUGACAAAAGAAGAUGCCACAGCAGGGACCAGGAAACAGGCCCACCCCUGAAGUGUGAGCUGUUGGUAAAAUCAGAGGAAAGGAGGCUGCCAUUCCCUUCACAGCCAAACAUUGUCAACCCAUGGGGAAGCAGGCCUUAUUCAACUCCCUAGGAUCCUUUAGAAAAAAAUCACCUCUGUAGGCUUCUUUGAUUUUCUUUCAGAAGCAAUUGCUGUCUUUCUCACUGUGUCUUUGUUGCUGCAUAAGAUUGAAGGUAUAAAUUUAUAUUUUUGUGAUGGAAAGGCUGUGUGGAAAUUCAUUGAUGAUACUUUAAAAUGUCAUCUUUGCUUCUACUAGAUUUCUUACUUAGAAUUUUUAAAAAUCAUUUUCUUGUUUAAAUAGUUUCUUUUUUAAAAAAAUGGUUACAUUAGUUUUAAAAUAGCUCUGUGAUUUUACUUUUUAUCGUAAUUAAUAAACAUUGAGAUCUUCGU